This 253-nucleotide ribosomal RNA is filed under the name uncultured bacterium. RNAcentral describes it as "partial 16S ribosomal RNA". It matches the Rfam family "Bacterial small subunit ribosomal RNA", at positions 524 to 776 of the family's 1533-position model. The record is from RNAcentral.
UACGUAGGGGGCAAGCGUUGUCCGGAAUCAUUGGGCGUAAAGCGCGUGUAGGCGGUCCGGUAAGUCCGCUGUGAAAGUCGGGGGCUCAACCCUCGGAUGCCGGUGGAUACUGUCGGGCUUGAGUACGGAAGAGGCGAGUGGAAUUCCUGGUGUAGCGGUGAAAUGCGCAGAUAUCAGGAGGAACACCAAUUGCGAAGGCAGCUCGCUGGGACGUUACUGACGCUGGGACGCGAAAGCGUGGGGAGCAAACAGG